This 1008-nucleotide long non-coding RNA is filed under the name Papio anubis (olive baboon). RNAcentral's name for it is "lncRNA (ENSPANG00000037256.1)". Lineage: Eukaryota; Metazoa; Chordata; Mammalia; Primates; Cercopithecidae. The record is from RNAcentral.
UAGUUUCAGCUGUUUGGACUAUUCUCGGUAUAUACAAUCAUCCAUCUGCUUUCUAGCACCCAAAACUUGGUGUCUUUUCUUGUUGACUGUCAUCCACUAUCCUGUUGCAUUGUCCUUAUGAGUUUAUGACUUUUUCUAAUUCAAUUACUAUCAUUUUAGUGGCAUUUCAGGAAGAAAUGGAGAUAAACAAGUGUGUUUCAUCCACCAUAGUUAACUGGAAGUCCAGUUUUUACUCUUCAUAUUUACUUUAAAAAUUAUUAUUUUUAGUGGUGAAAAAUGAUGAAGACAAAUUAUUUUAGAAAAAAGUAAAUUAUCUCUGCAAGGCAGAGAGGAUAUUAUGAGGUUCAAUUCUAAUUUUGUCUUUUUUCUUUUUCACUAUAGUUAAUGGCAAUGAAGUCCCCGUGACCAAGAGACCAUCCUCCUCCAGCAUUGCUCAUCCUAGAGAUAUUUCUAUCGGUUUAUCAGUGUCUUCUUUGAUAUUUCCAUCUGCCCUUAUUUGGCUUCAUUUUCUUUUAACCAGAGUAGCCCUUGAUCAUCAAGACAGACUCUCAAAAGAAUAGGAAUGACAGGGAAGGAAGGAAAGAUCUGAUCAUUUCCACUGGGCCUUUAAUUCCUUUGAACUUGAGCAAUUGUUUUCAUGAAGGAUUCAGGAGUGUUUGCCGACAGCCAUUCCCGCCGCCAUCUGGUGAAUAUGGUUAUUUUGCUAUAUUUUUAAAAAAUUUUAAUUUCCAUAGUUUUUUGGGGGAACAGGUGGUAUUUGGUUACAUGAGUAAGUUCUUUAGUGGUGAUUUAUGAGAUUUGGGUGCACCCAUCACCUGAGCAGUAUACACUGAACCCAGUUUUAUCCCUCAUCCCCUUCCUACCCUUUCCCCCUGAGUCCCCAAAGUCCACUGUGUCAUUCUUAUGCCUUUGCAUCCUCAUAGCUUAGCUCCCACUUAUGAGUGAGAACAUACAAUGUUUGGUUUUCCAUUCCUGAGUUACUUCACUUAUAUGGUUAACAGUCUCCAA